RNAcentral lists this unclassified non-coding RNA (355 nucleotides) under soil metagenome. RNAcentral describes it as "partial contains 5.8S ribosomal RNA, internal transcribed spacer 2, and large subunit ribosomal RNA". The stretch from base 1 to 120 matches the Rfam family "5.8S ribosomal RNA", at positions 35 to 154 of the family's 154-position model. The record is from RNAcentral.
GAUGAAGAACGUAGCGAAAUGCGAUAAUUAAUGUGAAUUGCAGAAUUCCGUGAAUCAUCGAAUCUUUGAACGCACAUUGCGCCCGCUAGUAUUCUGGCGGGCAUGCCUGUCUGAGCGUCAUUUCAACCCUCGCCCCCGGCUUUUGCUGGGAGCGGUGUUGGGGAUCGGCCGCCCGUCACUGGGAGGCCGGCCCCGAAAUAGAGUGGCGACCACGCCGUGUGCUCCUCUGCGUAGUAGUAAAUCACCUCGCAGGCGGACAGCGGUGCGGCCUGCCGUAAAACCCCCAACUCUUUCUGGUUGACCUCAGAUCAGGUAGGAAUACCCGCUGAACUUAAGCAUAUCAAUAAGCGGAGGA